AUUGAACGCUGGCGGCAGGCCUAACACAUGCAAGUCGAACGAGUGGCGGACGGGUGAGUAAUGUCUGGGAAACUGCCCGAUGGAGGGGGAUAACUACUGGAAACGGUAGCUAAUACCGCAUACCAUCAGAUGUGCCCCGAUGGGAUUAGCUAGUAGGUGGGGUAAUGGCUCACCUAGGCGACGAUCCCUAGCUGGUCUGAGAGGAUGACCAGAGACUCGGGAACGGAGACACGGUCCAGACUCCUACGUGAGGCAGCAGUGGGGAAUAUUGCACAAGGGGCGCAAGCCUGAUGCAGCCAUGCCGCGUGUGGGAAGAAGGCCUUCGGGUUGUAAAGCACUUUCAGCGAGGAGGCGUUACCCGCAGAAGAAGCACCGGCUAACUCCGUGCCAGCAGCCGCGGUAAUAC
This 406-nucleotide ribosomal RNA is filed under the name uncultured bacterium. Its description in RNAcentral is "partial 16S ribosomal RNA". It matches the Rfam family "Bacterial small subunit ribosomal RNA", at positions 30 to 526 of the family's 1533-position model. The record is from RNAcentral.